CAGUAGCCGCGGUAAUACGUAGGGUGCAAGCGUUAAUCGGAAUUACUGGGCGUAAAGCGCGCGUAGGUGGUUUGGUAAGAUGGAUGUGAAAUCCCCGGGCUAAACCUGGGAACUGCAUCCAUAACUGCCUGACUAGAGUACGGUAGAGGGUGGUGGAAUUUCCUGUGUAGCGGUGAAAUGCGUAGAUAUAGGAAGGAACACCAGUGGCGAAGGCGACCACCUGGACUGAUACUGACACUGAGGUGCGAAAGCGUGGGGAGCAAACAGGAUUAGAUACCCCUGUAGUCCCUGUCUCUUAUAC
This 301-nucleotide ribosomal RNA is filed under the name uncultured bacterium. Its description in RNAcentral is "partial 16S ribosomal RNA". It matches the Rfam family "Bacterial small subunit ribosomal RNA", at positions 509 to 807 of the family's 1533-position model. The record is from RNAcentral.